Molecule: non-coding RNA, 26 nt
Filed under: Homo sapiens (human)
Lineage: Eukaryota; Metazoa; Chordata; Mammalia; Primates; Hominidae
Source: RNAcentral
GAUUGGACAGGCUCCUUGAUUGCCAC